This 3356-nucleotide long non-coding RNA is filed under the name Homo sapiens (human). RNAcentral's name for it is "HSALNT0337146". The record is from RNAcentral. Lineage: Eukaryota; Metazoa; Chordata; Mammalia; Primates; Hominidae.
UGGCGACCGAUGCGUCCCGCGCUCUAGGCGAAGACCGCGGCCCCGUCCCCGCGCCUCCACCGCCUUCUUCCAGGAGGAGGGGCCGUGCGGCGCCUGCCCGGGGGCCCUCAGGCCGCAGGCGGGCGCGAGCUUCAGGGAACUUAGGGGGCUCCCGCCUCCCCGGCCACGCGAGCGGGAACAGUCUCCUCCACUCGGAGCGAGUUCAUCCAGUCCUCCAUGUUAGGAUGCAGCAACCAGGUAUAAUCUUGGAAGCAGAGACAGACCCUCACCAGACACAGUCUCCUGGGACCUUGAUCUUGGACCUUCCAGCCUCUAAAACUGUAAGCAAUAAUUUUCUGUUAUUUAUAAAUUACCCAGUGUAAAGUAUUUUGUUGCAGUAGCAGGAAUGGCCUAAGACAUGUAGUGAGUGUUUCAGUUCUGAAACUGCAAGUAGAGAUCCUGGUUGUGGACUCUAAGUUCCUAAACCUCCUCAUCACUUAUUGGGAAAGUCAGUUUUGGGGCUCAGGACCAUUAGGAAAAUUCAAGAUUCCUGCCUCAUUCAAAUGGAGGGCUAAAUGCAGGGUAGGAAUAGCAAGAAGGUAUUUUCUUUCAAGCCCAUUUCCCUCUUCUUUCAGGCUGUUAAAACAUGUUCACUUGUUCACCUGCUAGUGGCCAUUGGCUCAGGGAAAGUGAAUCAGAUCCCUUGUUCAAGGGGAUAAAUUUAGUUACUCUUAGCCAAUCAUGGUGAUUCUAUUCUGCUUUUCAGAGACUGGUUUAACAAGAGUCAUGUGAUCUUUCUGGUCAAUGAAAGAUAAGGGGAAGCCAGCCUGGAGUUGCUUCAGAAAGGCUGCUCUUAAACAGAAACAUAUUUGAAGAAACAGUAACUUUAUUCUGACUCUUUAUGUGUGUGGCGGAGGAAGUGAUGCCUAGAGCUACUACAGGCACUUAGGCCAUGAGGAGAACCAGUGUAAGUCAGCAAGCCAAGAUGCUAAAGACAGCAGAAUAAGAAAAUGGCAAGAAUCUUGUCCUUGAUGCUGUUGAGCUACUGAAUUAACCAGGGCUGCAACUCCCUGUAUUAGUAAGGAUUCUCCAGAGGAACAGAACCAAUAGAAUGUAUAUAUAAGUAUAUAAUAAGGAAUUAGCUCAUGCAGUUACAGAGGCUGACAAAUUCCAAUAUCUGCAGUUGGCAAGCUGGAGACUCAGGAGAACUGACGGUGUAGUCUAACGGCUAGCAGGCCCAAGAACCAGGAAAAGCUGAUUAAAGUUCAAAGGCGGGAAAAAAAAACCCAAUGUCCCAACUUGAAGGCAUUUAGGCAGGAGGAAUUCCCUCUUAUUUAUGAGACUGUCAGCCUUUUUGUUCUAUUUAGGCUAUCAAUUGUUUUGAUGAGGCCCACAACAUUAGAAAGGGCAGUGUGCUUUGCUCAGUCUAUCAAUUUCAACGUUAAACUCAUCCAGUAUAAUGUUUGAUCAACUAUCUGGGUAUGCCAUGGUUCAGUCAACUUGACACAUAAAGUUAACCAAUCGUCAAAACCCCCUACUUUUGGUUUCUUGAUAAAUAAAAUAAUAUUUAUCUUCUGUUUUAGUGGAAUAAAGGUAUGGAAAACGCUUUGAUCAGUUUCUGUCUUUUGUUGAUCUGGAAUUGCAGUAUCAUUGUGAUUAAAGAAACUAAAAUACAGUGUAAUUAGGGGAUCACAUCCAAAUUUUGCAAACCCUUUGGUAAUGUUUAGAAUAUAUUUGAUUAAUUCAUUUUCAAUUCAACAAACACCUGUUAAAUACUAACUAUAUGUCAGCUAGGUACAUGUUAUAUGUCAAUGAAAAAAAAAAGAAAAAAUUCCCCUUGUGGGGCUGACAUCUAGCAUAUAAACAAAUGGUCAAUUUUAAUAUAGUUUUGGGUUUAUUUAAGCUUAUUACAGAAUAAAAAAAUAGUGCCCCAAACUGACCACUCUUGCAUAGCCAUGCCCAGCAGCCAAUACUACAUAAUGUCAACCUACAACACAGCACCAUCAAGUUGUUACUCAAAUGAGACCUAGGCUUGACGGGAUGUUAGGAGGUCCAUUUCUAUCAAUCAGAGUCUGGAGUUCAUCCAUCGCCCUAAGCCUGCUAUUGAGGGAGCCCUAUGUAAACAUUUAUGUGGCCACCAAUAAAUAGUAAGCCCCUCAAUCCCAACCCUAACCUCACUGUGUUUCUAGAUUCUUGCCUCUGUUCUUUGUUUGCACUUUAUUCUUUGCUGGUAACGGAUUCUAGCCCUGAACUCCAGCCAAAUUGUCUGGGCCUACGAAUUGACUAGUCUUGCCAACCUCUUCUCUCUGGGGGAUCUGGAUCCUAUCCCAAUUUUCUCCCCUCUGCAGCCCACUGGCUAAGGCCCUAUUACAACCCAGACAACCUCUCCCAUUCCGAACAUAAAACUGUCAUCUGUUGGAUAAUAACAUUUCCCACAUAACCAGUUCCUGGUGCCAUGCUCCCACCUGGCUUGAGAUGGUGACUGUCACCAUUAAUCUGGUUUGGAUUCAGGUUUGGUAUGUCCUGUUAGAUGCUGAGACUUGGGGGAGCUUAUAGUCAUAUACCUCAGACCUCCCCUAUCCCCACCAGUCUUGGCUUACUUCUCUCUCUCCUACAGAUCUACAGCUGGGGUUCUCUUCUGGCUCUCCUGCCAAGGCCAAUCAGAUCGCAAUACAAAAAAGUAACACUUUCCAGCAUUCUGUAGAGUCUGAUUUUCUAAACAGUUCUUUAGAUUUUAAUGCAUCUCAAUAAUAGUUAUAAGUAACAUUUUAUUUUUUUCUGUGGCAGAUUAGGCCUCCUGCAAAAUAGUCAUUUUCAAAAAUUGUCUAAGAUUCAGAUGCCGCACCCAAUGUUUAUGCUUUUUGCAGCAAUAUGGUCCUAAUUCAACAUCAUGCAGCGUGCAAAUCAGUGUUUCUUCUAACUUCAACAGUGAUAAAUAUUUAUUAAGCCUCCACUAUGUUCAUGGAACUAUACCAGGUGCUGCUAUAACUAUUUUUCCUUUCCAGGAAAAAUAAAUUCAAAUAUGGAAUAAAAAGCCCAAACUCAUGAAACUGGACUGACUUUGCUUCUUAAAAAUUCAACAUGCUGCAGCUGCAUGCUUAAACCUGGUUCAAACAGGAUGAUGAAAUAAAACAUUAUUAUUGUGGGAAUAUAACACUGUCUAAAUAAAUAGCCAACAUGAAAACUGUCUCUAAAACCCAUAGCAUCUGUAUGUGCAGACUGUAAGUAAGUUAUAUAAUUCCUCCACUAUUCUGUAACAUGGCCAAUUCAGAAUGUCUUACCAUUAAUCUUGAAGACAUUUAAAGAUGUUCACUUUUCUAACUCUUCCCUUUGAAAAUAUAUUUGAACCUUAUUUGCAAUAAAAAUCUCAUAAUAUU